This 1166-nucleotide long non-coding RNA is filed under the name Lynx canadensis (Canada lynx). RNAcentral's name for it is "lncRNA (ENSLCNG00005001038.1)". The record is from RNAcentral. Lineage: Eukaryota; Metazoa; Chordata; Mammalia; Carnivora; Felidae.
CGCCGCCGAGCGGGGUCUGUGACCCCCGGCCGCCCGACGGCGGACCGAAAGACGGUCAAUGAAAAGUUGAAAGAAGAGAAGCUCGGUACGGUCGCUCCUGGAGAUAAUAGUGAAUAUUAAUUACCAGGCACUUUUCUAAGCGAUCUGUAUCUCUUCCUACGGGGGGGAAACCGAAGGACCUUGAAGUCCACCCCCUCCCCCCAGCAUCUUAAAGGUAGAGAUUAGUUAUAUUGCCCUCAAAUGUUCAGAAGAACAGAACCAUCUGGUUUUCAGCCGCCUUAUAACUAUUCUUGGAAAGCUACAUUGUAUAUAAAAUGGUACCGUAUACACUUGUCAACUACGUCUUGGCGUGUAGAGUGGUUAGAAGAAUGGGUCCUUGACCUUAGAAGUUGAGGUAAUGCAAACAAAAGAUAAUUAGCAGAAAGAAAAAUUUUAACAAGCAAGUGAAACAGGACUCAGGGCUUUCUUAAGUUAAAGUUAGUCAUUGUCCAGAAGGAUUCUUGGUGUUUUGUCUAGAGCUGGUUGGGAAGGACCUGAAUGGCCGCCAGCAGCAGGUGCCUCUUGGAGGAGAAACAAAAUGUAAGCAAGUGUGGGAAGAGGUAAGAUGUGGUUGAAGGAUGCUGACCAGACUGGGGAGUAAAUGGGAGCAAUAUUUAGAUGGCCAGCUCCAGAAAAAAAGACAAAUUUCACCAAAAAACUAUACAUUUCUGCGUUAUUGAUUUUUCCUCCAGGAGAGGGCAGAAUUGCGUGCUGUGAAUACUUAUGGACCAGAGACCUUUUGAAGCCAGAAGGAACACUGUCUCGAGUCUUUGUUGUUCCCAAGGCCGGCUGCCGAGAGAGACCGGAUUCGCGGGGCCAGGAAGCCAGGCGCUCUCCCAGCUAGCUCCCAGGUAUCCUCAACGUUCAAGAUUUUAUACGGUUUCCUUUUACGGGGGAAAUAAAACUUACACGCAAAAUGCUUUUAAAAUAAGAGAUCAGCCAAGAACUUCAUUGUGAUACAGACUUUGUCUAGGUGGAAUUCAGAGGAGGGAGGCAUCACCCAACCGGACCCCUUGUUAGGAAAACCAGUUCUGGAAGCCCCAUCGCUCAGCGACGGAGUCUCUGGUGGGACUUCCCACCCGAGGGCCAGAGCCUCUCCGCUUGAAGUGUGCAGUUUCCGUAUACAU